CGCUAAGAAGCUAAAUAGCGCUAGCCUUUUAAGCUAGAGACUGGGAGAUUGCCCUCCCCUAAGCGA
RNAcentral lists this transfer RNA (66 nucleotides) under Tragulus napu (Balabac chevrotain). RNAcentral's name for it is "tRNA-Lys". It matches the Rfam family "tRNA". From Rfam's summary of the family: Transfer RNA (tRNA) molecules are approximately 80 nucleotides in length. Their secondary structure includes four short double-helical elements and three loops (D, anti-codon, and T loops). Further hydrogen bonds mediate the characteristic L-shaped molecular structure. tRNAs have two regions of fundamental functional importance: the anti-codon, which is responsible for specific mRNA codon recognition, and the 3' end, to which the tRNAs corresponding amino acid is attached (by aminoacyl-tRNA synthetases). tRNAs cope with the degeneracy of the genetic code in two manners: having more than one tRNA (with a specific anti-codon) for a particular amino acid; and 'wobble' base-pairing, i.e. permitting non-standard base-pairing at the 3rd anti-codon position. Lineage: Eukaryota; Metazoa; Chordata; Mammalia; Artiodactyla; Tragulidae. The record is from RNAcentral.